Molecule: long non-coding RNA, 526 nt
Organism: Photinus pyralis (common eastern firefly)
Lineage: Eukaryota; Metazoa; Arthropoda; Insecta; Coleoptera; Lampyridae
Exons: 3
Source: RefSeq, a predicted model, not a curated record
ACUUCAGUUUAAAGUGAACACAAAACAUAAAUAUACAUAACCUCAAAAUUUGCAGUAAACAAACAAAAGUACAAGAGUAACAAGAAUUCAAUAUUUCAAAUAUAAAUUUCUACAAAAUAGAAUAGCAAAAUAAUAUUCAGUGUAGCUUUAUAAAAUUAACAUAGAAUCGUGCCCCACUUUGGACGUCAAAUGUGCUACCGGGUAAGUGAAAACGGUUUUGUUGUCUUAAUGUAAUGGCGGAUACAUUUGAACCGAUACUCUGUUGCGCUCGGCUGAUGGUAGAGCAUGAAUGAUAUAAGGGCGCCAGGGCUAUGCGCGGAAGGUACUCUCAGGGUCGUGACGUUAACUAGCCCGUUCUGGUAAUUUGACCAUUAAAUUAUGAACAACGUGAGGUUGUCCGACUGAUCGUGUGAGAUGGAGGUGUGACCUGUCGCGGAGAUCUCUUACAGAAUUCGGAUACCUUAUUGACGGUUUACUUCGGAAGACGGUUGAAGACCUUGACGACUGGAGCUGCUGGAGUUGACGA